AUGGGAACUUUGUUAUUGCUUUCUAUUCCUUACGUAUUGUUUUCGAAGAAUUAUGACUAUGUUUUUAGAAUGAAUUUUUAUGACAUAAUUGUAAAGAGGCAUUAGUGCCAAAGACUGUUUUGAUUAUUGAAUAAUUUCCGCUGCGAAGUAUUAAAGACUUUUUAGUUAUUGAAUUUUAAAGGAUAAAUAGUUAUUUAUUCAGUUUAUGAUUUUAUGAAAAGAAGUGUAGCAUUC
RNAcentral lists this long non-coding RNA (234 nucleotides) under Medicago truncatula (barrel medic). Its description in RNAcentral is "lncRNA gene10604". The record is from RNAcentral. Lineage: Eukaryota; Viridiplantae; Streptophyta; Magnoliopsida; Fabales; Fabaceae.